CUGAGUGAGGGCCUCCGGGUCCGACCUCCAACCCUUUUGUGAACCACCUCUGUUGCUUCGGGGGCGACCCCGCCGUUCGCGCGGCGGCGGCGCCCCCGGAGGCCCAAUCAAAACACUGCGUAACCUUAGUGUCGGAGUCUGAUUUAAUCAAUCA
RNAcentral lists this unclassified non-coding RNA (154 nucleotides) under uncultured Zasmidium. RNAcentral's name for it is "sequence contains ITS1". The record is from RNAcentral. Lineage: Eukaryota; Fungi; Ascomycota; Dothideomycetes; Mycosphaerellales; Mycosphaerellaceae.